Molecule: ribosomal RNA, 119 nt
Filed under: Helianthus annuus (common sunflower)
Lineage: Eukaryota; Viridiplantae; Streptophyta; Magnoliopsida; Asterales; Asteraceae
Source: RNAcentral
GGUUGCGUUCAUACCAACACUAAUGCACCGGAUCCCAUCAGAACUCCGCAGUUAAGCGUGCUUGGGCGAGAGUAGUACUAGGAUGGGUGACCCCCUGGGAAGUCCUCGUGUUGCAACCC